GCCAGGCAUGGUGGCGCAUGUCUGUAAUCCCAGCUACUCGGGAGGCUGAGACAGGAGAAUUGCUUGAACCCAGGAGUCGGAGGUUGCAGCGAGCCAAGCUCGUGCCACUGCACUCCAGCCUGGGCAACAGAGCGAGACUCUGUCUCAA
This 148-nucleotide non-coding RNA is filed under the name Gorilla gorilla gorilla (western lowland gorilla). The record is from Rfam by way of RNAcentral. Lineage: Eukaryota; Metazoa; Chordata; Mammalia; Primates; Hominidae.